AUUGAACGCUGGCGGCAUGCCUUACACAUGCAAGUCGAACGGUAACAGGUCUUCGGAUGCUGACGAGUGGCGAACGGGUGAGUAAUACAUCGGAACGUGCCUAGUCGUGGGGGAUAACUACUCGAAAGAGUGGCUAAUACCGCAUGACAUCUACGGAUGAAAGCAGGGGAUCGCAAGACCUUGUGCUACUAGAGCGGCCGAUGGCAGAUUAGGUAGUUGGUGGGAUAAAAGCUUACCAAGCCGACGAUCUGUAGCUGGUCUGAGAGGACGAUCGGCCACACUGGGACUGAGAAACGGCCCAGACUCCUACGGGAGGCAGCAGUGGGGAAUUUUGGACAAUGGGCGCAAGCCUGAUCCAGCAAUGCCGCGUGCAGGAUGAAGGCCUUCGGGUUGUAAACUGCUUUUGUACGGAACGAAAAGCCCCGGGUUAAUACCCUGGGGUCAUGACGGUACCGUAAGAAUAAGCACCGGCUAACUACGUGCCAGCCGCCGCAGUAA
This 498-nucleotide ribosomal RNA is filed under the name uncultured bacterium. Its description in RNAcentral is "partial 16S ribosomal RNA". It matches the Rfam family "Bacterial small subunit ribosomal RNA", at positions 30 to 523 of the family's 1533-position model. The record is from RNAcentral.